This 254-nucleotide ribosomal RNA is filed under the name uncultured bacterium. RNAcentral describes it as "partial 16S ribosomal RNA". It matches the Rfam family "Bacterial small subunit ribosomal RNA", at positions 333 to 604 of the family's 1533-position model. The record is from RNAcentral.
UAUGACCUACGGGAGGCAGCAGUGGGGAAUAUUGCACAAUGGGGGAAACCCUGAUGCAGCGACGCCGCGUGAGUGAAGAAGUAUCUCGGUACGUAAAGCUCUAUCAGCAGGGAAGAAAAUGACGGUACCUGACUAAGAAGCCCCGGCUAACUACGUGCCAGCAGCCGCGGUAAUACGUAGGGGGCAAGCGUUAUCCGGAUUUACUGGGUGUAAAGGGAGCGUAGACGGCAGCACAAGUCUGGAGUGAAAUCCCG